UACGAAGGGGGCUAGCGUUGUUCGGAAUUACUGGGCGUAAAGGGCGCGCAGGCGGCCCUCCAAGUCAGGCGUGAAAGCCCCGGGCUCAACCCGGGAAUAGCGCUUGAGACUGGGGGGCUUGAGUUCGGGAGAGGAGAGUGGAAUUCCCAGUGUAGAGGUGAAAUUCGUAGAUAUUGGGAAGAACACCGGUGGCGAAGGCGGCUCUCUGGACCGAUACUGACGCUGAGGCGCGAAAGCGUGGGGAGCAAACAGG
RNAcentral lists this ribosomal RNA (253 nucleotides) under uncultured bacterium. Its description in RNAcentral is "partial 16S ribosomal RNA". It matches the Rfam family "Bacterial small subunit ribosomal RNA", at positions 524 to 776 of the family's 1533-position model. The record is from RNAcentral.